GGUAACGCGAGAUAUUAGUGCGGUUCAAUCAAAUAGUCGGCCUCUUAACUCACGGAGAUCGGUGUUGUUCGAUUGAGCCGUGCCAAUAUCACGCGGUAAACC
Molecule: microRNA precursor, 102 nt
Filed under: Arabidopsis halleri subsp. gemmifera
Lineage: Eukaryota; Viridiplantae; Streptophyta; Magnoliopsida; Brassicales; Brassicaceae
Source: RNAcentral